This 253-nucleotide ribosomal RNA is filed under the name uncultured bacterium. RNAcentral describes it as "partial 16S ribosomal RNA". It matches the Rfam family "Bacterial small subunit ribosomal RNA", at positions 524 to 776 of the family's 1533-position model. The record is from RNAcentral.
UACGGAGGGGACUAGCGUUGUUCGGAAUUACUGGGCGUAAAGCGCGCGUAGGCGGAUUUGCAAGUCGGGGGUGAAAUCCCGAGGCUCAACCUCGGAACUGCCUUCGAUACUGCAAAUCUCGAGUCCGGAAGAGGUGAGUGGAAUUCCUAGUGUAGAGGUGAAAUUCGUAGAUAUUAGGAAGAACACCAGUGGCGAAAGCAGCUCUCUGGGACGGUACUGACGCUGAGACGCGAAAGCAUGGGGAGCGAACAGG